Non-coding RNA from Oesophagostomum dentatum (nodular worm), 72 nucleotides. Lineage: Eukaryota; Metazoa; Nematoda; Chromadorea; Rhabditida; Strongylidae. The record is from the annotation of a GenBank genome assembly.
UAGCGGCGAGUGUUUUCGAUCCACCGAGCCCUGGGUUAUGGGCCCAGCACGCUUCCACUGCGCCACGCUACU